ACAGCAGCCGCCGCGGGAAUACGAAGGGUGCAAGCGUUACUCGGAAUUACUGGGCGUAAAGCGUGCGUAGGUGGUGGUUUAAGUCCGUUGUGAAAGCCCUGGGCUCAACCUGGGAAUUGCAGUGGAUACUGGGUCACUAGAGUGUGGUAGAGGAUAGUGGAAUUUCCGGUGUAGCGGUGAAAUGCGUAGAGAUCGGGAGGAACAUCAGUGGCGAAGGCGACUAUCUGGGCCAACACUGACACUGAGGCACGAAAGCGUGGGGAGCAAGCAGGAUUAGAUACCCGUGUAGUCCCUGUCUCUUAUAC
Molecule: ribosomal RNA, 305 nt
Filed under: uncultured bacterium
Lineage: Bacteria
Description: partial 16S ribosomal RNA
Rfam family: Bacterial small subunit ribosomal RNA
Source: RNAcentral